UACGUAGGGUCCGAGCGUUGUCCGGAAUUAUUGGGCGUAAAGGGCUCGUAGGCGGUUCGUCACGUCGGGAGUGAAAACUCGGGGCUUAACCCCGAGCCUGCUUCCGAUACGGGCAGACUAGAGGUAGGCAGGGGAGAGCGGAACUCCUGGUGUAGCGGUGGAAUGCGCAGAUAUCGGGAGGAACACCGGUGGCGAAGGCGGUUCUCUGGGCCUUACCUGACGCUGAGGAGCGAAAGCGUGGGGAGCGAACAGG
RNAcentral lists this ribosomal RNA (253 nucleotides) under uncultured bacterium. Its description in RNAcentral is "partial 16S ribosomal RNA". It matches the Rfam family "Bacterial small subunit ribosomal RNA", at positions 524 to 776 of the family's 1533-position model. The record is from RNAcentral.